This is a non-coding RNA of Periconia digitata, 92 nucleotides long. The record is from the annotation of a GenBank genome assembly. NCBI's taxonomy places the organism in Eukaryota, Fungi, Ascomycota, Dothideomycetes, Pleosporales, Periconiaceae.
GGCUUCAUGGUCUAGUGGUAUGAUUCCUGCUUUGGGAUAAGCGAAUGUCUUAAAGUUGCAGGAGGCCCCGCGUUCGAAUCGCGGUGGAGCCC